GUGUGCAAAGUGUUGUGGUCGCACGCCUCUCUCCCUAAGAGGAAGCGAGGGUUCAAUUCCCUCUGUGCACU
This 71-nucleotide transfer RNA is filed under the name Myxococcales bacterium. RNAcentral describes it as "tRNA-Gly". It matches the Rfam family "tRNA". Rfam says of the family: Transfer RNA (tRNA) molecules are approximately 80 nucleotides in length. Their secondary structure includes four short double-helical elements and three loops (D, anti-codon, and T loops). Further hydrogen bonds mediate the characteristic L-shaped molecular structure. tRNAs have two regions of fundamental functional importance: the anti-codon, which is responsible for specific mRNA codon recognition, and the 3' end, to which the tRNAs corresponding amino acid is attached (by aminoacyl-tRNA synthetases). tRNAs cope with the degeneracy of the genetic code in two manners: having more than one tRNA (with a specific anti-codon) for a particular amino acid; and 'wobble' base-pairing, i.e. permitting non-standard base-pairing at the 3rd anti-codon position. The record is from RNAcentral. Lineage: Bacteria; Pseudomonadati; Myxococcota; Myxococcia; Myxococcales.